RNAcentral lists this long non-coding RNA (687 nucleotides) under Theobroma cacao (cacao). Its description in RNAcentral is "long non-coding RNA (TCAC_LNC003972)". Lineage: Eukaryota; Viridiplantae; Streptophyta; Magnoliopsida; Malvales; Malvaceae. The record is from RNAcentral.
UUUAAAUCAUUAAAUAUAUAUUUUCUGCUUACCUACUAUAUUUUUAGCAAGUUUUGAGAUUUUUGACGAAAAAUUACGAAAAUACCCCUGUGAGCCAGAAAAUAAUAUUUUAUUGUUCUUAUUUGCAAAUGACUUAUGAUUUUUUUGAAAUCGAGAUUUAAUAAUUGUUGCUCAUCGGGGAGAUGCGGAAGUUGAUGCUAAGCCUUGCGGGGUUUCAAUCGGCAUUCGAGGUGAAGAAUGUCUGUCGAGGCCUCGCGGCGGUUGUCAUGGGCCCGAUGGGGAGUUAUGGGUCGUGACAUCAUUGCAACUAUAAAAGGUGGCUUUUGAGUCAUUUUGAAGUAAAAAAAGACUCGCAUUUCAUUUGGAAACCCUAGCAAGACCCUUAAGCUUAUCUUUUCUCUUUAACCUUUAUCUUAGUCUUCUAUCAAGUAUUCAAAAGCCAUAGAAGCUCACUCACUCAUUUGAAAAUCCUUGAGCUGAAAUUUGUGAGAUUAUUUCUUCUCUUUGUACAUGAAGCUUAAACCUGUAGCACCCAACCUUUGUAGAGACAUUCUUGCAAUACUUUGUACUCUUUUUGUAAAGGUUCUAGCUUAAUCUUGAAAAACUAUUUGUGGGUUUAUGGUUGAGUUCGUUAAAAACUAUCAUUGUAAGGGUUCCGCUUACUCUCGUGAAAAAACGUUGCUGAGG